RNAcentral lists this long non-coding RNA (218 nucleotides) under Panax ginseng (ginseng). RNAcentral describes it as "long non-coding RNA (PGIN_LNC012954)". Lineage: Eukaryota; Viridiplantae; Streptophyta; Magnoliopsida; Apiales; Araliaceae. The record is from RNAcentral.
GUAACUCAUGAAUAGUAACUCGUGAAUAGUAUCUCAUGAAUAGUAAACCCGACUCAAAAAGGUAGAAAUUCCACAAUAAAAUCCAUACCAAUAUUUCGGUAUAAUGAUAUUGAAAGAAUAAUAUUUUUUUAAGCUUAUAAACAAUUUAUUUUAAUUGUUUACACUUUACUAAAUAAUGCAUUUAAUCAUUCUAAAAUGCCAAACUCAUAAGAUUUCAU